Diorhabda carinulata is the source of this 315-nucleotide long non-coding RNA. RefSeq lists it as uncharacterized. The record is from RefSeq and is a predicted model, not a curated record. NCBI's taxonomy places the organism in Eukaryota, Metazoa, Arthropoda, Insecta, Coleoptera, Chrysomelidae. The transcript is spliced from 2 exons.
AAGAAGCCUAUGUAUAUGUAUGUAUGUAAUUUUGCAGAUUUGGCAGAUCUAUAAGUGAUUUUCCUAUCUAUAAACUAAGAAGAAUAUUUUGAUGACUGCCAUCACCUUGUUUAUAUGAAUAGAUAAUUUGAAGAAAACUUUCAAAGAACUGCACUUUUUGUUACUUAUAUAGAAAUAUAAAAAAAAGAAAUAUGAAGACCGGGACAAUAAUACAAAAAAAGCAGAAGAUUGGAAGCACAAAAUAGACUGAAUAAUGUGACUGAGUAUAUGUGUUUUUUCAUUUGUGUAAGGAAUAAAUGUUUAGUUUUAUUUUAU